Molecule: ribosomal RNA, 562 nt
Filed under: uncultured bacterium
Lineage: Bacteria
Description: partial 16S ribosomal RNA
Rfam family: Bacterial small subunit ribosomal RNA
Source: RNAcentral
UGGGGAAUUUUGGACAAUGGGGGAAACCCUGAUCCAGCCAUCCCGCGUGUGCGAUGAAGGCCUUCGGGUUGUAAAGCACUUUUGGCAGGAAAGAAACGUCGCGGGUUAAUACCCCGCGGAACUGACGGUACCUGCAGAAUAAGCACCGGCUAACUACGUGCCAGCAGCCGCGGUAAUACGUAGGGUGCAAGCGUUAAUCGGAAUUACUGGGCGUAAAGCGUGCGCAGGCGGUUCGGAAAGAAAGAUGUGAAAUCCCAGAGCUUAACUUUGGAACUGCAUUUUUAACUACCGGGCUAGAGUGUGUCAGAGGGAGGUGGAAUUCCGCGUGUAGCAGUGAAAUGCGUAGAUAUGCGGAGGAACACCGAUGGCGAAGGCAGCCUCCUGGGAUAACACUGACGCUCAUGCACGAAAAGCGUGGGGAGCAAACAGGAUUAGAUACCCUGGUAGUCCACGCCCUAAAACGAUGUCAACUAGCUGUUGGGGUCUUCGGACCUUGGUAGCGCAGCUAACGCGUGAAGUUGACCGCCUGGGGAGUACGGUCGCAAGAUUAAAAACUCAAAUG